This 354-nucleotide ribosomal RNA is filed under the name Triticum aestivum (bread wheat). RNAcentral describes it as "partial small subunit ribosomal RNA". Lineage: Eukaryota; Viridiplantae; Streptophyta; Magnoliopsida; Poales; Poaceae. The record is from RNAcentral.
AUGCGGCGGGACUACCUGGCGGCCACGGACAGCUACAUCAAGCUGGCGAUCGGCAACUCGCCGUGGCCGAUCGGGGUGACCAUGGUGGGCAUCCACGAGCGGUCGGCCCGGGAGAAGAUCCACACCAACGGUGUCGCCCACGUGAUGGACGACGAGACGACGCGGAAGUACCUGCAGCUGCAGUUCGUGAAGCGGCUCAUGACCUUCUGCCAGCGGAGGUACCCGACGGAUCCCUCGAGGUCGGUCGAGUUCAACAGCCUCGCCAACGGUAGCGACCUGCAGUCCCUCCUCGCCGAGAAGGGCGCCGAGAAGAAGCACCCAGAGGAGACGCUCCGGCUGGUGGCUGCCUCCUGA